RNAcentral lists this small RNA (28 nucleotides) under Bombyx mori (domestic silkworm). RNAcentral's name for it is "ovarian small RNA-25421". Lineage: Eukaryota; Metazoa; Arthropoda; Insecta; Lepidoptera; Bombycidae. The record is from RNAcentral.
UCACUGAGAUAUGUUUCAUCGUAAUUGA